This 1372-nucleotide ribosomal RNA is filed under the name uncultured bacterium. Its description in RNAcentral is "bacterial SSU rRNA". It matches the Rfam family "Bacterial small subunit ribosomal RNA", at positions 28 to 1381 of the family's 1533-position model. The record is from RNAcentral.
GAUGAACGCUGGCGGCGUGCCUAAUACAUGCAAGUCGAGCGAACGGACGAGAAGCUUGCUUCUCUGAUGUUAGCGGCGGACGGGUGAGUAACACGUGGAUAACCUACCUAUAAGACUGGGAUAACUUCGGGAAACCGGAGCUAAUACCGGAUAAUAUUUUGAACCGCAUGGUUCAAAAGUGAAAGACGGUCUUGCUGUCACUUAUAGAUGGAUCCGCGCAGCAUUAGCUAGUUGGUAAGGUAACGGCUUACCAAGGCAACGAUGCAUAGCCGACCUGAGAGGGUGAUCGGCCACACUGGAACUGAGACACGGUCCAGACUCCUACGGGAGGCAGCAGUAGGGAAUCUUCCGCAAUGGGCGAAAGCCUGACGGAGCAACGCCGCGUGAGUGAUGAAGGUCUUCGGAUCGUAAAACUCUGUUAUUAGGGAAGAACAUAUGUGUAAGUAACUGUGCACAUCUUGACGGUACCUAAUCAGAAAGCCACGGCUAACUACGUGCCAGCAGCCGCGGUAAUACGUAGGUGGCAAGCGUUAUCCGGAAUUAUUGGGCGUAAAGCGCGCGUAGGCGGUUUUUUAAGUCUGAUGUGAAAGCCCACGGCUCAACCGUGGAGGGUCAUUGGAAACUGGAAAACUUGAGUGCAGAAGAGGAAAGUGGAAUUCCAUGUGUAGCGGUGAAAUGCGCAGAGAUAUGGAGGAACACCAGUGGCGAAGGCGACUUUCUGGUCUGUAACUGACGCUGAUGUGCGAAAGCGUGGGGAUCAAACAGGAUUAGAUACCCUGGUAGUCCACGCCGUAAACGAUGAGUGCUAAGUGUUAGGGGGUUUCCGCCCCUUAGUGCUGCAGCUAACGCAUUAAGCACUCCGCCUGGGGAGUACGACCGCAAGGUUGAAACUCAAAGGAAUUGACGGGGACCCGCACAAGCGGUGGAGCAUGUGGUUUAAUUCGAAGCAACGCGAAGAACCUUACCAAAUCUUGACAUCCUUUGACAACUCUAGAGAUAGAGCCUUCCCCUUCGGGGGACAAAGUGACAGGUGGUGCAUGGUUGUCGUCAGCUCGUGUCGUGAGAUGUUGGGUUAAGUCCCGCAACGAGCGCAACCCUUAAGCUUAGUUGCCAUCAUUAAGUUGGGCACUCUAAGUUGACUGCCGGUGACAAACCGGAGGAAGGUGGGGAUGACGUCAAAUCAUCAUGCCCCUUAUGAUUUGGGCUACACACGUGCUACAAUGGACAAUACAAAGGGCAGCGAAACCGCGAGGUCAAGCAAAUCCCAUAAAGUUGUUCUCAGUUCGGAUUGUAGUCUGCAACUCGACUACAUGAAGCUGGAAUCGCUAGUAAUCGUAGAUCAGCAUGCUACGGUGAAUACGUUCCCGGGUCU